AACGAACGCUGGCGGCAGGCUUAACACAUGCAAGUCGAACGCGCCCUUCGGGGCGAGUGGCAGACGGGUGAGUAACGCGUGGGAACGUACCCUUCGGUUCGGAAUAACCCAGGGAAACCUGGGCUAAGACCGGAUGCGCCCCCGGAGUGAUCCGGGGGGAAAGGUUCACCGCCGAAGGAUCGGCCCGCGUCGGAUUAGCUGGACGGUGGGGUAACGGCCUACCGUGGCGACGAUCCGUAGCUGGUCUGAGAGGAUGAUCAGCCACACUGGGACUGAGACACGGCCCAGACUCCUACGGGAGGCAGCAGUGGGGAAUAUUGGUCAAUGGGGGAAACCCUGAACCAGCCAUGCCGCGUGAGUGAAGAAGGCCCUAGGGUUGUAAAGCUCUUUCAGCGGGGACGAUAAUGACGGUACCCGCAGAAGAAGCCCCGGCUAACUUCGUGCCAGCAGCCGCGGUAAUACGAAGGGGGCGAGCGUUGUUCGGAAUCACUGGGCGUAAAGGGCGCGCAGGCGGUCCUUCAAGUCAGAUGUGAAAGCCCCGGGCUCAACCUGGGAAUUGCAUUUGAGACUGAGGGACUGGAGGACGGGAGAGGAGAGUGGAAUUCCCAGUGUAGAGGUGAAAUUCGUAGAUAUUGGGAGGAACACCAGUAGCGAAGGCGGCUCGCUGGGCCAUUCCUGACGCUGAGACG
Molecule: ribosomal RNA, 689 nt
Filed under: uncultured Alphaproteobacteria bacterium
Lineage: Bacteria; Pseudomonadati; Pseudomonadota; Alphaproteobacteria
Description: bacterial SSU rRNA
Rfam family: Bacterial small subunit ribosomal RNA
Source: RNAcentral